GCUACUUUCUUUAUCACCAUUUCUUUUCUAAUUUCCAUUUUAUUAAGGAGAAAAAUGGGAGAAGAAAGUAAGGUAUAAAUGUUGGUGUUAAAAGUGUUUCAAUCAAUUGUUUUUUUUCUUAGUUUACAUUUACUAGUAAUUCCGUUACUUUAUAAUACCAAACAAAAGAUAACAAUAAAUCUUAAAGUUUCCCUUUCCGAUCCUUAAAGGUUUUUAUUCCCUUUCCAUUUCAUAAAAUAUACCAAACAUGUCCUUAAUGAAUUUCAGCACAACAUCGUUCUAUGAAAACCUAAAAUCAUUAAUUAACCACAUACAAUUCAAAAUCACACACAAUCAAUCAAGUUUUCAAACCAAUUGAUCCAAGUAUGCUUGGAUGAGGUCUUAGAACAACAUUUGUACAAAUUAGAUCAGCAGCAACAAAUUGAAACAAAUCAUAAUUACAAAAAUUCAGCAGUAAUAGAUUUAUUGAUGUGCAAGUUCAGGAGUGUGUGUAGCACUGUAGGUGAGAGCAACAAAUCAGAUCAGCAUAUGAAGUUCAGAGCAGAUCCGUAAGUGUGCACAAUACAGACAAAUCAGCACAGUAGGUCAGCAAGUCAGUAACAGAAUGUGCAGAAUGUCUAACAGCCAGCAGCAGUAGCAAGUCAGCACAGUAGGAUUAGCAAGUCAGUAACAGAAUGUCUAACAGCCAGCAGCAGCAGCGCGAUGCAGACAGAAGAAUAGUGGCUCUGAUCAGCAACAGUGCAGCAUAUCUGUACACAGAUCAGAAUGUGCAGCAAUUUAGGAUCAACAAGUCAGUGUUUUAAGCAGCCUUGGGUAGAGUUUCAGAUCAGCAGGUCAGCACCAACUCAGUACUGAACAGAGACUGUGUGCAGCUCUAAUUUGGGGCUGUGUUGUGUCAUCAUUGUUGGGCAGCAUGCAGCAACAGUGCUUCACAAAGUGCAGAACAAAGUGGUAAUUCGAAGGUGUGCAACAAAGCCAAGGACUAAUCUUUGGUAGUUUGAAGAGUCCAAUCUUAAUUCCGCAAACAAACAAGUUUGGUCUAAUCUUUGGGACCAUACUCGCAUCACCAAUUAUCACAUGUCUUUCAUAACUUAUUCAUAGCUGUUUGGUUUCAACAUAUUUACGAUUGGUAACGGUAACAAGUAACCAUUACCGUUUCAACUUGUUUGUUUAGCAUCAAGGGAUAAGCAAAUCCAUUAGUUGAGGAUAAUAGAUUCCAUUACCUUGUUACUAGACUAGAAGUAGCGGUAACAAAAUUAUUCUUUAUUCUUCUAUCAUCCCUGAUCUCCCUCUACGUGAAGCAGUCAAAGAAUUAUAUGGAUGUGGGAGUUGGGAAGCAACACUCCAAUGCUGAUGUACCACCACACCUCUAUUUCUUUUGAUUCCCUUACCCUCCUAUCAAACAAUUAUUAAUAAUAACACUUAUCAUUACCCUUACUCAUCUUUACCCUUUUCCUUUCCGUUUCAUUUCCCUUAGGCAUACCAAACACUCCACAAAAUAUCAUCAUGAAUUAACACACUAAAACAAGAAUAUAAGGGAAUACACCAACAAAAGAUUUCAAGUAGCCUUCAAGAUGGUUGGACCUUGAAAUUCUUUAUAGCACCAUAUUCUAACUCAGUAAGAAAUCUUUAUAGUGUUGAUUGGCAAAGCAAGUAAGAAAUCCCCAUUAAUGGCAGAAGCUAUUAUUGAAGAGCUGAAUUUAGAGUACACUCCAACAUGGGUUGUUGCUCUUGUUUGUUUUUGCAUCAUCUCUAUAUCUCUUCUUGUUGGAUGUUGUCUUCACUAUGUUGGAAAGAAUACUCAUCGGUUCCUGAAUACUAUAUUCAUCCGUCCCGGACCGCUCGUCAAUUAUUGUGAGGUAAUCUUAAUUGAUGCUAAUUAUUGUCCUUAUGCUAUUCAAUAGAAAUUUUUAUACUGUAAUUGGAAAUUAAAUUUUUUUGAGAAUAAUUUGUGGUUGCAUCAUAGUUGCUAUUGUUGUGAGAAAGAAAGUUAGAAUUGCAGAGAAGAAUUUAGGUUUUUGCACAGAUAAUAGACAAGAAGAACAAUUUUGAAUGCAAUGAGAGAUGCAGGUUAUUUUCUUUCAGCUUUGUUGAAUGAGAUCAUUACAAGUUUAUAGACAUUAUCGGUAUUAAGGAAAACAAGUGUUUUACAUUGAAGAUGGAAUAAGAACAGGAUGGUCACACGUUAAGACUAAGCCUAGAGACUUGUUUGAUUUAGGCGACACUCCUUGAUUGUAUGAUUUGCGAUUUGUUUGAUAAUAUUUUUAUUUAAUUUUCUUGUUUUAGAUUUUUUUAAUUUUAUUUGGUAUUGAAUUAGUUACACCAAAAUCAAUCAGAAACACCAGCCAUCCUAUCAGCAACAAAGGAUUUCCAUUUAUACUACUCUAAACAUUCUGUGCACCUGGACAGUAAUUGGACCACAGCAUUCAAGGCAACACAACACCCACUUAGAGGACUUGUGAAAAGAAAGUAUUCCAUGUGCAUACAUCAAGAUAAAAGGGGUUAAGGAUGAGUUUUAAAAGUAAACGAAACGUUAUUCAACAUUGCAACAAAGACAUUUUUACUUUGAAUUCUAUGUACAACUAUUUAGCUAAUGACAUUGAAGUUUAGUUCCUUUUUUGAUAAUGAACUUUUGUAGAACAAUUACUUUUAGUUAUUUAGAUGAUUGAAAUAAUACACAUUUUUUGUAGAUUCUAGAUAGUUUAUAUUUGAAUGAAGUACUUAUUUUAGUGCUUGAGCAAAGCGUCGCUAUAGUAGGGUUUAUAUCACUAUUAGAAAAUGUGUCGCAAUUAGCGAGUAGUGAUGUCAAUAAGCGUCACAAAACUAGUGCUGAAGACAAGGGUCACAAAAGAGAAAAAUAUAAUUAUAAGUGGCGCAAAAUAGCCCAAUACAAACUUGAAAACAGGUCACAAAUUGUAGAUUGACAAAGUAAAAUGUCGCAAUAACAAAAAUAGAGACUGAAAAAAGCGUCACAAACUGAAACACAA
This is a long non-coding RNA of Amaranthus tricolor (Joseph's coat), 2987 nucleotides long. RefSeq lists it as uncharacterized. The record is from RefSeq and is a predicted model, not a curated record. The transcript has 6 exons. NCBI's taxonomy places the organism in Eukaryota, Viridiplantae, Streptophyta, Magnoliopsida, Caryophyllales, Amaranthaceae.